AGGACUAACGCUGGCGGCGUGCCUAACACAUGCAAGUCGAACGAGGUAGCAAUACCUAGUGGCAGACGGGUGAGUAACACGUGGUCAACCUGCCUUCGCGUGGGGGAUAACUAGUCGAAAGGUUAGCUAAUACCGCAUACGAUCGUUUCGGGGCAUCCCGAGACGAUGAAAGGAGCAAUCCGCACGAAGAGGGGACUGCGUCCCAUUAGUUAGUUGGUGGGGUAAUGGCCUACCAAGACUCCGAUGGGUAGCUGGCUUGAGAGAGCGACCAGCCACACUGGAACUGAGACACGGUCCAGACUCCUACGGGAGGCAGCAGUGAGGAAUUUUCCGCAAUGGGCGAAAGCCUGACGGAGCGACGCCGCGUGUGGGAAGAAGGCCUUCGGGUCGUAAACCACUGUCGAAGGGGACGAUAUUGACGGUACCCUUGGAGGAAGCCCCGGCUAACUACGCGCCAGCAGCCGC
RNAcentral lists this ribosomal RNA (465 nucleotides) under uncultured bacterium. RNAcentral describes it as "SSU rRNA". It matches the Rfam family "Bacterial small subunit ribosomal RNA", at positions 26 to 518 of the family's 1533-position model. The record is from RNAcentral.